AACCGGCGAGUUACGAUCCCGUGCAAGGUUAAGCAGAAGAUGCGGAGCCGCAGCGAAAGCGAGUCUGAAUAGGGCGCAUGAGUACGUGGUCGUAGACCCGAAACCAGGUGAUCUACCCAUGUCCAGGGUGAAGUUCAGGUAACACUGAAUGGAGGCCCGAACCCACGCACGUUGAAAAGUGCGGGGAUGAGGUGUGGGGAGGGGUGAAAUGCCAAUCGAACCUGGAGAUAGCUGGUUCUCUCCGAAAUAGCUUUAGGGCUAGCCUCAAGGUAAGAGUCUCGGAGGUAGAGCACUGAUUGGACUAGGGGCCCCUACCGGGUUACCG
This 325-nucleotide ribosomal RNA is filed under the name Bacillus siamensis. Its description in RNAcentral is "bacterial LSU rRNA". It matches the Rfam family "Bacterial large subunit ribosomal RNA", at positions 620 to 941 of the family's 2925-position model. The record is from RNAcentral. Lineage: Bacteria; Bacillati; Bacillota; Bacilli; Caryophanales; Bacillaceae.